RNAcentral lists this ribosomal RNA (253 nucleotides) under uncultured bacterium. RNAcentral's name for it is "partial 16S ribosomal RNA". It matches the Rfam family "Bacterial small subunit ribosomal RNA", at positions 524 to 776 of the family's 1533-position model. The record is from RNAcentral.
UACGGGGGGGGCAAGCGUUGUUCGGAAUUACUGGGCGUAAAGGACUCGUAGGUGGCCAACUAAGUCAGACGUGAAAUCCCCAGGCUUAACCUGGGAACUGCGUCUGAUACUGGAUGGCUUGAAUUCGGGAGAGGGAUGCAGAAUUCCAGGUGUAGCGGUGAAAUGCGUAGAUAUCUGGAGGAAUACCGGUGGCGAAGGCGGCAUCCUGGACCGAGAUUGACACUGAUGAGCGAAAGCUAGGGGAGCAAACAGG